Molecule: non-coding RNA, 1277 nt
Organism: Pimephales promelas (fathead minnow)
Lineage: Eukaryota; Metazoa; Chordata; Actinopteri; Cypriniformes; Leuciscidae
Source: RefSeq, a predicted model, not a curated record
UCUAAUCUAGGUUGUUUACUGGAUGUUUUUGUCGCACUGGACAUCAAGCCAUUAAUACCUUGUUUUAAUGUGAACAUGAAUGUUUUUUAUGCACAAUUUGACAGAUUAGACACUCCCUCAAAAAUUCCUCCUCCUUUUUUUUUUUAACACAGGACUGUGCGCAUGCAGGUUCAACAGGUUUUUAAGAAGGUAAACACCCGUAAGUCAGUGGGACCUGAUGGUGUAUCGCCAAACGUUUUGAAGUUCUGUGGGAACAACUGGCAGACACCGUUGACCCCUUUACAGUUUGCUUACCACCUUAAUAGAUCAGUGGACGAUGCAAUGGCCAUGGCUUUGCAAAAAACCUGGACUGGAGUAGAACACACAAAUGCUUUCUUGGAUUAUAAGUCUGCUUUCAACACCAUCCAACCUGGAAAGCUAUAAUUGAGAAGCUGGUAGACCUCGGGGUCCCAAGUUCCCAACCACCACCUGUAACUGGGUUUCGGAGUUUCUUAUUAAUAGCUCUAGGCCUCUUGAAACCAGCUGAUCUUUGGAAUGUGGGGGUCACCAUGGAAACCUUAAAGACCUUGAAUGAAAGCAUAGCCUACUGUUGAGCAGCACCACCCCCAGUUCAUAGGACUCCCUCUCCGAGGGCUGGACGGUGCUGCGGGAUGAUGUCAUGCGGUCGGGAAACAGAGGGAACAGUGGGAGAUGACCUGGGCAGAGAGAAAGUCAGAGAUUGAAGGUCAUGUGAGUGUGAUCAGAGCAGGGGUCAGCACACUGCUUUUUUCUUGAAGACUCUUAAGAGGCUGAAAUGGUCCAGACAGCGGACAGCUUUUUUGCACAAUGAAUGCAGAGAAUAAUCCCUAACAGCCUGUCGUGACCUCUAACAGACCCCUAAUUACCCCACACACAAACACAUUCAGCACAGCUCAUAUUAAACUCCUAUUUUCUUGCCGAAAUGUCAAUCACUGUAAUUGAAAUCUUUGAUUUGACUGUUCGAUUCAUUUUUCUGCAGUAUGAUCAAAUGUUUGGAUGGAUAAUAAUGUUAAUGUUAGCCCUGAAUUAGGCUAAUGUAAUCUCCGACAGCUUGAUGCUGAUAUUGAUUUAGUAAUCUGCUUGUUUUGGAUUUAAUCUGUCCCAGGCAGUUUGAAUGUUAUUGCCCAAAUAAGUGGAAAUUUGCAGAAGUAAAGAAUAAGGAGGCUGGCAAAUUUGUGAGGGCAAUCUCCUGUUUCUGCACUAUUUGCACAUGUAGGUAUGGUUAAAUCAUGCUCUGCACUCUCACAAUAUUUCACUGA